CACGUAGGGUGCGAGCGUUGUCCGGAAUUAUUGGGCGUAAAGAGCUCGUAGGCGGUUUGUCGCGUCUGCUGUGAAAACUCGGGGCUUAACCCCGGGCCUGCAGUGGGUACGGGCAGACUAGAGUGCGGUAGGGGAGACUGGAAUUCCUGGUGUAGCGGUGAAAUGCGCAGAUAUCGGGAGGAACACCGGUGGCGAAGGCGGUUCUCUGGGCCUUACCUGACGCUGAGGAGCGAAAGCGUGGGGAGCGAACAGG
Molecule: ribosomal RNA, 253 nt
Filed under: uncultured bacterium
Lineage: Bacteria
Description: partial 16S ribosomal RNA
Rfam family: Bacterial small subunit ribosomal RNA
Source: RNAcentral